This 153-nucleotide microRNA precursor is filed under the name Leersia perrieri. RNAcentral describes it as "MIR812 microRNA precursor family". It matches the Rfam family "MIR812 microRNA precursor family", at positions 27 to 179 of the family's 205-position model. Lineage: Eukaryota; Viridiplantae; Streptophyta; Magnoliopsida; Poales; Poaceae. The record is from Rfam by way of RNAcentral.
CACAAGUUUGACCGUUCGUUUUGUUCAAAAAAUUUAUGUAAUUAUUAAUUUUAUUCCUAUCAUUUGAUUCAUUCUUAAAUAUAAUUUUAUGCAUACAUAUAGUUUUACAUAUUUUACAAAAGUUUUUGAAUAAGACGAACGGUCAAACUUGUG